This 450-nucleotide ribosomal RNA is filed under the name Melanoleuca brevipes. RNAcentral's name for it is "eukaryotic LSU rRNA". The stretch from base 318 to 450 matches the Rfam family "Eukaryotic large subunit ribosomal RNA", at positions 1 to 133 of the family's 3401-position model. The record is from RNAcentral. Lineage: Eukaryota; Fungi; Basidiomycota; Agaricomycetes; Agaricales; Pluteaceae.
AUGCGAUAAGUAAUGUGAAUUGCAGAAUUCAGUGAAUCAUCGAAUCUUUGAACGCACCUUGCGCUCCUUGGUAUUCCGAGGAGCAUGCCUGUUUGAGUGUCAUUAAAUUCUCAAUCCUUUCUGGGUUUACUCUCAGUUGGGCUUGGAUAUGGGGGUUUUGCCGGCUUUGUAAAACAAACAAAGUCAGCUCUCCUGAAAGACAUUAGCAAGACUCUUGUUGCAACCUUCUAUCUGGUGUGAUAAUUAUCUACAUCAUAGAUUUGUACACUAUGUCUAGCUUCUAACAGUCCAUUAAAUUGGACAAAACUCUGACAAUUUGACCUCAAAUCAGGUAGGACUACCCGCUGAACUUAAGCAUAUCAAUAAGCGGAGGAAAAGAAACUAACAAGGAUUCCCCUAGUAACUGCGAGUGAAGCGGGAAAAGCUCAAAUUUAAAAUCUGGCAGUCUCU